ACGGUAACAGGUCUUCGGAUGCUGACGAGUGGCGGACGGGUGAGUAAUGCGUAGGAAUCUGUCUUUUAGUGGGGGACAACCCAGGGAAACUUGGGCUAAUACCGCAUGAGCCCUGAGGGGGAAAGCGGGGGAUCUUCGGACCUCGCGCUAAGAGAGGAGCCUACGUCCGAUUAGCUAGUUGGCGGGGUAAAGGCCCACCAAGGCGACGAUCGGUAGCUGGUCUGAGAGGACGACCAGCCACACUGGGACUGAGACACGGCCCAGACUCCUACGGGAGGCAGCAGUGGGGAAUUUUUCGCAAUGGGGGCAACCCUGACGAAGCAAUGCCGCGUGGAUGAAGAAGGCCUUCGGGUUGUAAAGUCCUUUCGUGGAGGACGAAAAGGUGGGUUCUAAUACAAUCUGCUAUUGACGUGAAUCCAAGAAGAAGCACCGGCUAACUCCGUG
RNAcentral lists this ribosomal RNA (444 nucleotides) under uncultured bacterium. RNAcentral describes it as "bacterial SSU rRNA". It matches the Rfam family "Bacterial small subunit ribosomal RNA", at positions 66 to 507 of the family's 1533-position model. The record is from RNAcentral.